CCUUAAAGCGUGUGGUAGUCAAAGCUUUAUUCUAUAGUUAAAGUGUGGCACGACUUGCAAUAGAAUAAUGGAACCGUUGAAAAAACGCAAGAAGCGUGGACAUUACAAGAAAUACUUGAAUCCUGGUGCCAAGUUCUUCGUGCCUAGGUCUACAGAUUCAUCGGCGCGGCUCCGAAUGGCAGGUGCAGAAGCGAAAUCCCAGCCGGGCAGUGUUUCCUGCGAUCUUAACCUGGACGACAGCAUAAUGACGCACCGAGAAUGCAACGCGGAGACGUCAACUGCGCCGGUCGACGCACAUUGCAUGGAAUAUUCCCAGGACGGUCGUGCAGCGUCUGCUAUAAACGAAUUCUCCAGCAGUAAUGUGCGCGGAUGUGUCUUUCCCGGAAAUGUCGAUUUGGUAGAACCUAACAAAGAUGCACAAGAGCAAGCCUCAGAAAAAAAGGACUUCAGCCAGCCAGACGCGCAACACGAAGAUUCUGGACAAGGGGAGGACUGCAGCCUGCCAGUUGCUCAAGACAAAGAAUCUGGACAAGGGGAGGAUUUG
Dermacentor albipictus is the source of this 544-nucleotide non-coding RNA. NCBI's taxonomy places the organism in Eukaryota, Metazoa, Arthropoda, Arachnida, Ixodida, Ixodidae. The record is from RefSeq and is a predicted model, not a curated record.